RNAcentral lists this long non-coding RNA (238 nucleotides) under Mytilus galloprovincialis (Mediterranean mussel). Lineage: Eukaryota; Metazoa; Mollusca; Bivalvia; Mytilida; Mytilidae. The record is from RNAcentral.
UAUUUUUGUUAUACUUUAAGGGGGUAGACCUUGGUUCAGGGAGAUAACUCUUUAAAUCAGUUAAGCGUUUGUAAAAGUCAAGUUCAUCAAUGUAUUUUAAGCAUUUACCUGAAACAGAUUGAAAAUAAUCUAUGUAACCUAGAAGCUUAGAAUAUAUUUUUGAAAAUGGUUGACACAAACGUACUGAUGAUUUUAAGAGUUAUUUCCCUUAACCUAGGUCUACCUCCUUAAAGAGGAU